ACUGACAGGCUAGAGUCUUGUAGAGGGGGGUAGAAUUCCAGGUGUAGCGGUGAAAUGCGUAGAGAUCUGGAGGAAUACCGGUGGCGAAGGCGGCCCCCUGGACAAAGACUGACGCUCAGGUGCGAAAGCGUGGGGAGCAAACAGGAUUAGAUACCCUGGUAGUCCACGCUGUAAACGAUGUCGACUUGGAGGUUGUGCCCUUGAGGCGUGGCUUCCGGAGCUAACGCGUUAAGUCGACCGCCUGGGGAGUACGGCCGCAAGGUUAAAACUCAAAUGAAUUGACGGGGGCCCGCACAAGCGGUGGAGCAUGUGGUUUAAUUCGAUGCAACGCGAAGAACCUUACCUACUCUUGACAUCCAGAGAAUUUGCUAGAGAUAGCUUAGUGCCUUCGGGAACUCUGAGACAGGUGCUGCAUGGCUGUCGUCAGCUCGUGUUGUGAAAUGUUGGGUUAAGUCCCGCAACGAGCGCAACCCUUAUCCUUUGUUGCCAGCGAUUCGGUCGGGAACUCAAAGGAGACUGCCGGUGAUAAACCGGAGGAAGGUGGGGGAUGACGUCAAGUCAUCAUGGCCCUUACGAGUAGGGCUACACACGUGCUACAAUGG
RNAcentral lists this ribosomal RNA (602 nucleotides) under Pectobacterium sp. ST12.14/479. RNAcentral describes it as "bacterial SSU rRNA". It matches the Rfam family "Bacterial small subunit ribosomal RNA", at positions 632 to 1233 of the family's 1533-position model. The record is from RNAcentral. Lineage: Bacteria; Pseudomonadati; Pseudomonadota; Gammaproteobacteria; Enterobacterales; Pectobacteriaceae.